RNAcentral lists this ribosomal RNA (433 nucleotides) under uncultured bacterium. Its description in RNAcentral is "partial 16S ribosomal RNA". It matches the Rfam family "Bacterial small subunit ribosomal RNA", at positions 29 to 507 of the family's 1533-position model. The record is from RNAcentral.
AACGAACGCUGGCGGCAUGCCUAACACAUGCAAGUCGAACGAGACCUUCGGGUCUAGUGGCGUACGGGUGCGUAACGCGUGGGAACCUUCCCUUAGGUUCGGAAUAACUCCCCGACAGGGGUGCUAAUACCGGAUAAUGUCUUCGGCCCAAAGAUUUAUCGCCUUUGGAUGGGCCCGCGUUGGAUUAGCUAGUUGGUAGGGUAAAAGCCUACCAAGGCGACGAUCCAUAGCUGGUCUGAGAGGAUGAUCAGCCACACUGGGACUAAGACACGGCCCAGACUCCUACGGGAGGCAGCAGUGGGGGAUAGUGGAAAAUGGGCGAAAGCCUGAUCCAGCAAGGCCGCGUGAGUGAUGAAGGCCUUAGGGUUGUAAAGCUCUUUUACCCGGGAUGAUAAUGACAGUACCGGGAGAAUAAGCUCCGGCUAACUCCGUG